RNAcentral lists this ribosomal RNA (450 nucleotides) under uncultured bacterium. RNAcentral's name for it is "partial 16S ribosomal RNA". It matches the Rfam family "Bacterial small subunit ribosomal RNA", at positions 28 to 506 of the family's 1533-position model. The record is from RNAcentral.
GAUGAACGCUGGCGGCGUGCCUAACACAUGCAAGUCGAGCGGCAGCGCGGGGUGCUUGCACCCUGUCGGCGAGCGGCGGACGGCUGAGUAACGCGUGGGAACGUGCCCCAAAGUGAGGAAUAACUGCCCGAAAGGGUAGCUAAUACCGCAUAUUAUCUUCGGAUCAAAGGAUUUAUCCGCUUUGGGAGCGGCUCGCGUCGGAUUAGGUAGUUGGUGAGGUAAUGGCUCACCAAGCCGACGAUCCGUAGCUGGUCUGAGAGGAUGACCAGCCAGACUGGAACUGAGACACGGUCCAGACUCCUACGGGAGGCAGCAGUGAGGAAUCUUCCACAAUGGGCGAAAGCCUGAUGGAGCAACGCCGCGUGCAGGACGAAGGCCUUCGGGUUGUAAACUGCUUUUAGAAGUGAGGAAUAUGACGGUAACUUAGGAAUAAGGAUCGGCGAACUACGU